CGGGGCUGCUAAGUGACUGGACAGCGCGGGGCCGGGAGGGGGAGGGGGGCACAAACAUGGCGGCUCUGGGGCCGGCGGAGGCGGGAAGGGAGAGGAGCCCGGGCUCAGGGCAGGCGCAGAGCAGAGGGACAUUUCGGAGGAAGGGCGCAGGGUUGAAAAUACACCCAGGGAGAAACAGGAGCCGGGCGAGAGAAAAUCAACCACCACUUCCUUCCUCCACCGCCAGGCCUCAGGAGUCGCCUCCCCCCUGGUUCUUCGCCUUUCGGGGGGCCUCGCCUCGGCACCGGGGUUACUGGCAGCCCCGUUUGCUGUCACUGGUCCCUGGUGUUCGGAAAGGGGGCUCGAGGGCAGGGAAGGCGUUGGGCGCCUGCCGGGGACGGGACUUUUCGCGCCUCUGGUCCGCUGCUGCCAGUGCCCUCCUGUGCACACAGCUCAGUGCCCGUGUCCUGGCUCCUCAUGCUGAAAAUCUGGUCCUGCCACCCACCGGCCCCGCAUCUACCCUGCCUCAGCUUCCACCUUCCCUCUCCUCCUGGUAGCCCUUUGACUGGCUGCGGAGCAGGAUCUUGUGUGCUGAGGGUGGAGUUCACUUUUGUGCAGAGCUCCAGCACAAGGAUUAUGCACACAGGCCCUGUACUACUGCUUUGCACGAAGCAUCUACUGAACUGAUCCUAUGCAGACUCAUUGAGGAACCGCCAGUCAUCAGUAGUCUCUGAAACAACAGCAGUGCCUAUGGAUAUUCUGACCCAUUCCUUCUGAACUUGGUUCUCAAAUUUCCUAAAAAGCAUCAUGGAAGGCAAGCUACAUCCUGCUCCUCAAACAUAGGAUCCAGUUUGCACUUCUUGUUUUUGAGAGAAUAUACCAAAGAAGAGUUCUGGAACAUUCUUCAUGAGAACAUGAACGAAGUCCCAAUGCGGGUCAUCUGGGGAAACGAAGAUCAGGUAUUUUGGUUAAUACAGGAACUGAUACUCUCUGUAGCUGUGGGAAUGGAAUAUGAACAAGAACAAUUAUUCAUAACUUUAAGGAGUGUUUAGAUUGCUGUGCAUUUUAUUUCCCAGAAUCGUCACUAUCAUGAGGUGGCAUCGAAGCAGUUAGAAAUAGAGUGAUUCAAAAAGAAAAAAGGUGACACGAGAUGAGGUUUUGAGUUUAAGUAAAUCCGAGGCUUGAAGGAUGUCAGACUGGCAGCAAAGGAGUCACAAUGACCUCGUGACUGAAACAGGACUGCUGGAGGCAGCGCUAGCUUUACCGUGCUGCCCCGGCGCUCUGCCUGGAGCUUCACUUGGAGGAGCUGAGCAGUCUGAACUCCCUCAAGUCGUGUCUCCUUCUGAAAGUGCCAAGAUUAUCAGUUAUGAAUGUGUUCUGCAUACUAGGAGCUAGACGUGAGAUCACAGACUCAUUUCCCAUAGAUCAGCCAUCAUUGAUACCAAGGACUGUAGUGACAGAAUGCAAUGUGAUCUAGAGCAGAAAGGUUGCUGGUCUCGUCACUAGUCCACUCAGCCAUCCUGGCCACUGAUGGAAUUAUAUAUUGAACUGGCUGAUGUCUCUCUAAGCCUGAAUAAAGAAAAGGAGUACUUGUGGCAGUACUCCUUUUUGCGAAUACAGACUAACACGGCUGCUACUCUGAAAUAAGCCUGAAUAGCACAGCAUUGAUCCCUAUGGAUAGAAACUCCUAUCUGCAAAACAGAGAGAGAUUCAGUGAAGUAGCUUAAUAAUGGGGAAAUGUUGGUCCUGCCCUUACUAGGGGCAGAACUCUGCUAGCUACAUUUAAACACAAGGGGUGUUAAAAUAGCAGGGUUCUUGCUUUACUACCCUGAUCUGAGUGUUCAAAGUGUUAUAAACCUGUGUUACAGCCUGCCUGAGGGGAUAGGUAUCAGAAGGGGGGAAAACAGGGUCUGGUUUUCAGAAGUGUUCUGCAUCUACAAUGCCAGUUUAAAUUUAUGCUCAGCAUUUCUGAAAAAUCAGGCCUAAAAGAACCCAGCCUGCAGAGGGAAAAAGCACCAUUUUUAAGGGGAGAAAAUCUUGUCUAGAGUCAGCACACAGUGUUAGAGCACUGCUAGCAUCAGCCAUUCUGAUCAGGGUUGGAGCUAGCAUUGUUCCGAACACUGUGUGGAUAAGGACUAAAUGUUCUCAUUACUUAACUAUUAUGAACUUCCUGUGGGUAGAUAAAGGAAAUAAAUGAGUUGCUAGCUGAAGCAUCUGAUGUGAGGAACAAAUGCUUGUCACACAUAGUAUCCUACUCUGCUACCCAAAUGCAUAUAAGAUAAAUGCAGAGAUUUUUUGCCCCAAAAGGGUCACGGUCACAGAGUCACAAAUAACUUUGUACCCUGAGGCGAAGACUUCCUAUAGUACUUAACCCUGUUUCUGUCAUACAAGUGCUGGCUGUUUCUGGAGUGGCUGUUUCAAGAAACUCCAUUCCUGUCACAUCUACAUUCCAGACAAAAGCGCAUCUUGGAGUUUGUGGAUCUGGUGGAUAAUACAAAGGACAUUAAGAAACUAGCAUGAACUUCAGGAGAGUUGCAAGAAGUAAAGUCUGAUUCUGUUCUGAAAAGUAACCAUAUAAAUGGCAUACGGUGCUCUAUUUGUCUCCAGAUUUCUAAACAGAUGUGCUCAAUGUACAGGCAGAGAUAUUUAGUUCUUGCAGAUUCAAUCUGGUAUCUGAGAACCCAGCUGCUCCCUCUGCUUCUCAUACAUUACCUGUAAUAAAGGUCCCAAAUUAGGCCCUGUACAAACCCACAUCAUGUCUUUACAUGAUGCCAUCUGAAUCACCUGUGCUAACUCAGUGCUUUCAGUGGAGUUACACAGAUAGGGCUGACUAAAUAUUAGUAAACUCUUCUGCUGAAGAUACAUAAAAGGAAUAGGGAUUGCUCCCUCUGAGCAUGUUUGGCUUUGCAGGGCUGACCAGAGGGGAAAAAAAAAAAAAGCUGCAAAAUGUUAGUUUAGUUUAGUUCAGUUCUUAAAGUCAGCAGCUGUGUCUAAAUAUGUACCUGGAGCAAAUCAGCUGAGCAAACAUGGCACCUUCUCACAGCCGCUUCUCAGACUAGGACCACACGUUAAUUUAGAAAAUUCUGCUGCUCUGAAAAGCUUGUGGGAGUUCUUCUACAAAAUGUGACAGUGCCAGAGUUUAUGCAGCUCAUGUGAUCUCAUCUUCUGUAUCAAAAUUUUAUCAACAUUUGUAAGUGUAUAGCAGACCCAGGCAGAUUUAAGAUUCUCUUAAUUUUUAUAACCAUCUAGGCAAUAUGAUAGACCUUGUCAUAAACAUACAACUAAGGGUAGCAUAAAAUCCCUCCUUUACCUGUAAAGGGUUAAUCAGUGCCAUUAACCUAGUUGGCACCUGAACAGAAGGACCAAUGGGGAAAGAAGAUACUUUCAAAUCUGUGGGGUGGAGGGUUUUUGUUUGUGCUUUUGUUGUUCUCUCCGGAGACAAAGAGAGAGACCAAGCAAGUAAUCCAGCUCCUACUGAAUGAUACAUCUAAAAUUACAGAAGUAGUAAGUAAUAGCAAGGAAAUGCAUUAGAGUAUCUUUUGUUUUAGCUUGUGAAUUUUCCUUAUGCUAAGAGGAAGGUUUAUUCCUGUUUUUUUUUGUAACUUUAAAGUUUUGCCUAGAGGGGAAUCCUCUGUGUUUUAAAUCUUAUUACCCUGUAAAAUUAUCUUCCAUCCUGAUUUUACAGAGGUGUUUCUUUUACUUUUUUUUUCUUUAUAAUAAAUGUUCUGUUUUUAAGAAUCUGAUUGGGUUUUUAGUGUCCUAAAAACCCAAGGAUCUGGUCUGUACUCACCUUUACUCUCAAGCCUCCCCAGGAAAGAGGGUGAAGGGCCUGGGGGGCAUAUUUUGGGGAAACAGGAACUCCAAGUGGUCCUUUUCCUAAAUCUUUGUCUAACUCACUUGGUGGUGGCAGCGAUACCGUUCCAAGGACAAGGAAGAAUUCGUGUCUUGGGGAAGUUUUUAACCUAAGCUGGUAGAAAUAAGCUUAAGGGGUCUUUCAUGCGGGUCUCCACAUCUGUACCCUAGAGUUCAGAGUGGGGAGGGAACCCUGACAGACCUGAAGGAAUAAAAAUACCUAAAGUCUCAAACUAGAAAAUUUAAGAAUAUGUAAGAAAUGUGGUAAGAGGAAAACUUUUCUGGAUUGAGAUUUUAGGAUUUUUUAUUCCUUCGGGUUUAUCACAUUGCCUAGAUGGUUAUAAAAAUUGUUGAGAAUCUUAAAUGUCUGGAACAUCAGAAAAGUACUGCUUAUAUCAUUAUGUCAUAUGGAAAGAACUGUGUAUGAAAGGAAGACUUGCAGGAGAAUACUAACUCUGUACGUGUGGUGAAUGAAAUGGAUGCCCAUAGUAAAGAAACAAUGUUCUGCAUCUUUAAAUUUGUUGAGAACUGUUAGAUUCAGAGAUAUACUGCAUCAAAGCCAAGCCCAUUUAAAAGAAAAAGAGCAUCUCUGCCUUUGUUGCCCACAGUGUAUUUAUCAUGGAGCAUUCAAUAUUUGUCUUUCUGAAGCUGAAAGAGCAGCUUAACUUCAGGAAAAGCCAUCUGUACUCAGCUGUGUCUGAGGGGAUUUAUUCCAGAACCAGUGAGUAUUUCUUGUCCUCAACAGCCUGAAACAAAAUUGAAGAUGAGACUGCAGCACCCUACACCUUCAGUGCCCAGUGAAUUUCUUGUAGCUGCCUCAAGCCAUGUUACGUACCAAGUAUUUGCAGGGAUGUUUCCAUGUUAAAAAGGGCACUUUACAUAGUUAAAAUGGCCGUGUCAACUUGGGAGGAAAUGUAAUUUUCAUAACAUGCAGAUUUGGCCAAAACAGUUGAUUUUAACCUCACAGAUUUAAGGGACAGUAGUUCUGAUAACCAUUCGUUUACAGUAUCAGUAUACUGUAGAUGUUAACAGUUCUGCAGCUGUGGCAGAAGAUUGGUUGUGCUUGACUGUAAUCUCAAUUUACAAGAAGUGCAAGGUGAUGAACACGAAUACAUUUCCGACCUGGAGUAACCUUGGGCAGCAUGAACUCAUUUGGGGAUGGGGUGGAGUUGAGACAACAACAGAACAGGGACAUACUCAGAAAAGUGAUAAACAGUUCUAGUCCCUCAUGCUGGGCAAAAAAAAGCCGUUUUCUACAUUUUGUAGUGGAUCCUUUCUCACUUUGUAGUGAUAAAGCAUAAAAGAUUCUCUGUACAGAGCAGUGCACCGUUCACAAGUGAUCUUCAGUACAAACUGCUCUGCACCAAAACACUGAUCCACAUAAGGGAGCUAGAACUUUAUCAGGAUGGGAGAAAAAUGGGUCACUUUUGCCUUAACUAAGUUCAUGAUUUAGGCCUGGUGUGCACACAAUUCUUGUACUGAUUGAGCUACUGCAGUUACAGGGGGGCGUGAUUUUUCUACUGAGAACUUCAUCGGUACAACCCCUAGCGUGGAAGUAGUUGCAUCAGUGUAGAGCAGGGGUUCCCAAACUUGGUUUGUGGCUUGUUCGGGGUAAGCCCCUGACAGGCCGCGAGACACUUUGUUUACCUGAGCGUCCGCAGGUACGGCCACUCACAGUUCCCACUGGUCGCAGUUUGCCGUUCUCAGCCAAUGGGAGCUGCGGGAAGCAGUGGCCUGGCCUGCACCACUUCCCACGGCUCCCAUUGGCCGGAAAUGGUGAACCGCAGCCACAGGGAGCUGGAUGGCUGUGUCCAUAGAGGCUGCACACAUACCCUUGUGGAUCCAACUGCUUGGCCCAGGAGAUGCGACUUACUGUCCUGUAGCUCCUUUCCACAUGACCAGAACCUAUAUGUGCCAGGAUUCUGCUGUUGGGGAAUUUCCUGCAGAACCUUUCCCUUGCUGUGGUCUCUCUGCUUUCAUGAAAGAACAAUUAUUUAUGUAGGCCUCUUCCUGCCAAAGAAAGCCUUCAAAAACACAAACCAAAAAUAACUGCUGCAGUGCUGUCUUCCUUGAGUCUGCAGCCAGCCUGAAACAAUGGCAGAGAUCUGUCCCCAUUUGCUGCAGUGGGGGUAAUAAUGCAAAUCUUAACAUCUUGCUGAUAUGCGGAUCCCAGAUGACAAGUGUCUAAGCAUCACCUGCACAGACAUCAGUAAACUGUUGAUCUGCUUGGUGCCAAGGGAGCCUCAGCUCCAUGCCGCUUGUUUUCUUGGGCUGGGAGGUUUCUCUCCCCGCUCGGUUCCAAUGGAGAGGGAUUCGAGUGCUCAGAAGGUGUGGGGUUCUUCCAAACGCCUAGUGUCUUGGCAAGCUUCGGAUCCGAUCUUUAGCUCAUGCCUUGGUUUGGGAGACAGAGUCCCUAGUGGAUGCACUUCAGUACAUUUUAGUGACACUGACCUGAACAGUUCCUAGCUUCCCAAUGCUGACAUGGGAAGCAAACCCCAGAGACAUGACACAUUUAUUUCAUCCAAAGCCCCUAGUGAAUUUGCUAAGGCACUUUCCAUUUUGAAAGUUGAUCAGUGUCCCAUGGAUACACCAGAAUUCUCCCAAAUCUAUACAUUUAAAGCUGUAUAUACAGUUUAAGAGGGUUAAAAUAAAACCAGCUCAGCAAAAGCAAAUAUGCCAUCAUGCUGGGUGUUCAGAUAGUAAACUCUCCAGGUCACACAGCACAUCUUUUGUACUGGAUGUUUACUUGUUUCCUUUAAAGGUUUUGUGUUAGUUUUGUUAAAGAAACAGACAGCCACAGCUCAGCACAUACUAUGUGUCAGCCACAAAUGCAGGGCAGCUAACUUUAGAAACUUAUCUCAUCUUAAAACUAGUUUUGUUCUCCUGCAGAAUUUGUUUUAGGACAAUCUAUGUUUUGCACAGUGCUCAACACACCAACAGUACUCAAAUAAUAAAUCAGAAAGCCAGUUGCACCAUUUUACUAUGUAGUGUGGCAACAACAGCAUAGGAGCUGGUUUUAUCCAUAGCAAUAAUAUCCAAAUACAGGUGUAAUCUUAAUGCAUCAAUAGGGUCCUCUCACCAAAUAGUAAAAUUCUGUGGUUGGGGAAUUUUGUAACUGGUUUUAUUGUGUCAGGGAGAGAAUACCAUUUUCAGCAGGCCCCUGAGAGUACUAACUAUAGUGCCUCCAACAGUCCUCCAAGUAAGGCUUUCUCCUUUGUCACUAGACAUACACAGCCACUUCAUUACAUAAAUGCUGUGGGGGGCUGUGUCAGCUGGAAUAAGUUAACACACACACAGGAUUGUACCAGGAAGGCUGGACACGACAUGUCAGCAUUUUAUUAACCAAAAGUGAAGCUGAACCCCAGAAUGAUUUUUUUUUAAAAAAACCAUAAGCUUAUAUGGCAGGUAUUUUUCCCUCCCGCUGUCAACACUACAGUGCAAGAAUCGAUCUCUCUGCAAUCACUCAUCCUUUGAGAAUCAAAUACUAGUUGUAAAAUGAGUUAAUAAAAUAUGGGUCUCCCAAUGAAUCAAUAAAAAACAUUUAACUCAAUGCAACAGACCAAUUUGCAAAACCAACUUAUGGAAUUCUCCCAGGUGAAAGACCUUAAAGCACUUGGAGCCUUGAGGUAGCAUCUUUAUGCAGAAUUCAAUUUUUUUUGAGUGGAGGAAAAUAUUGGUAGCACAUCUUUAGCUCCAGCCAGGCUAAGUGGAUUUCAGUAAUUCUCUUAUGAGGCUAGUGGCUUUCUUUUGCAUCUUUAAAUACUGAUAUUCCAUUAUAGCCUGUAAAGAGAGAAAUUACAAGGAAGGCCUCUUGAAAUAAAGCAUAUGGUUGAAGUGACUGAAAACAGAAGUAACUGUAAUAACAACAAAAAGUAACUGGAGUGAAAAAACCCAAAACAUCUGUAUUUUGGCAAGACUGGUUUACAAAUACAUGUCAAGAACCAGAGUCCCAACAUCAGCUAACUGAAAAGGAAAGAGAAUGGAAGGUGACAUUCAAAGGGGUUUUUCUUUUUUCCUCUGUGCAAAACUGCACUUUGUUUUUUUUUUGUUUUUGUUUUUUUAAAAGACAGCUUUUUUUUUGUACAUUGUGAAACCUGUGCUGUGACAUUAACCAGAAAUACCAUAUGCCAGGACACUUGACCACUGAAAGCUCCUCUCACUGACUUCACAACAAUCACAAGCAGAGAAUCAGAAAUAAGAUAUUUCUCCUAAUCUCAAGAUCAUCAUCCUCUUGCCCACUUUGCUGCUGAGGUCUCUUAUUAAACUAGAGCUCUCUCCACUACCAGUUGCUGGGAAUCCAUGGCAGAUUUACUGAACACAGAGCAAUACCAACAGAGAAACUCACACAUCCAUUAGAGACAUUAAAACAAAAGUGGCUGGAGUAAGACAGGGAUGUGGUGAUGUAGCUGAAUCACUAUUGGCCAAUGUCUCAAAGUCAGUUCUCACUCUCUCUUUUCAAGCAUUCUUUGUCCUUUAUUGAUACUCUGGCUGGCUAGCCAAAGGUGCCAUUGAGUAACAUUCUAUAGGUCACCUCUCCUUAUCUUCCUGUCCCCACUCCCCAAAAGACUACAAAGCAAAUUGGUUAAAACAAACCAGACCAGCCAGGCAGAUCCCAAAGAUGGACUUUAAACUGAUGAUCCCCCACCCCCUGCCCUUAGAGGCUCAUUCUCUCUGCUCAAAGUUCAGUUGCUCACUUGCAUCAUACUACAGUGUCCCAUCUGACAUUGGGUGUGACACGGCUGUGUGUGAUAAUUCCACUCUACUGCCUGCAAGGAGCAUAGAGAUAGAUAAAAGUUUGUAAAUCUGUUCCCUCAUCUGGGACCACUAGCUUUCUGAGUCCAUAGCCUCAUGUUCCCUCCCUCUGCCUUCUAAAUCUAUUAAAAUCCUUCCAUGCAGAAUUUCCAUAAGGCCCUAAGGGUGUCCAGUAGACCUUGCUUCCUUUUGGCCAGGCUUCAGUACAGUUUACCAGGUUUGCAUAUUCUGAGGCACCGAGUCCUAUAAUGCAGAGAACUGAAAGUUGUAAGCGUAGCCAAAUGUGCUUUACUCCGGUGGAUACAAGGGAGGGGCAUCUGAGGAAGUGUUUGUAUGGGAAGGACCAAAGCUGGUUGAGGAUAGUUAUUCAGAGAGAUUUCUUUAGUUCAUGUGACAGCUUAAGCUGUACGGAAACUCAGAUGGGUUUGGAGACCAGCUUGUGUCUGGAUUGCCUGGACAAUCCACAGCUGGCCUGAUUUGAGAGCCUGAGUCUGCUUCUGAAUCCUGAUCUCUCAGUUAUCAGCAUGAGGACCUGCCAACUGUUCUUUUUUUAAAAUUCUACAAUUAAAAAGAAAGAUUGAGUGUUUUUAGUGUUAAACCUCAGAAACAUGAAUGAAAUUCCAGUUCCUGCUGCUUUUUUAGCCUUGCAGAACUGAACCUGUACAGUAAAAUAGGAGAAACACACUGUGUGUGGAGGCAGUUACAAGAGCAACUAGAUAACAGCAUCAGGGCUGUAACAGUGAGGCACGCCUUGUUCAGUGGUAUUCAUUACAAACCAGUCCAUCAUCUGAAAGCAUAAUGCAAUCUACUGUAACUAGACAACAACAGUACACACUCAACCUGAUACGGAUCCCACUUUACAGAACAGUGCAGGAGCUGGAAGGAGUGAGGAAAAUAUUACAGGCUAGAAGCCAACUCCGUGUUGUAGCUCUGCACCUUCCACCUUGUUAGAGCAGAUUUCUAGUGUGCUAACAAGCAGGAAUUCACAGUUGUAGUAUUCUCUCCCCUUUCUCAGGUGAUCAUAAAAAUUAAAUAGUGGGUUCAGUUCUACCCAUCAGAGUCUGCAAUUAAAAUUUCACCAUCCCAGAAACAUGUAGGUAAGUUUCACAUAAAUUUAGAACACUGAAAAUGGAAAGGGGACCACUAGACUUAUUACCUACAAAUUCAUUGCCUUUUCUUUAUAUAAAUAUUAUAUUUUAUGCCAUAAAAAGGGUCCCCCUGAAGGUCGGAGUCUCAUUUAGAUAAUACUCUGAUAAAAUCUCAGCAGGAUGUGCCUUAAGGUCAAUAGAUCUAUAGAAAUAGAAGUCUUCCUAAUAAACGCUGCAGAUCUGACAAAUAAAUAUCUUUAACUGAAUUAUUACCUAAAGCAAAAGACCACUCCAAACACACCAACUGCCUAGUUAGCAAAGGCAUUUGCUGCAUGAAGUCAAAUGUUGCUAAUUUCUGAAAGAUUUAACAAACAGACUUGGCAUUUGGAAGUAUCUAAGUGCCUAAUCAAGUUAAAUAAUAUUACAAAAUAUUAGAAUUGAGGGGAGCUGCUUAAGUACAUAAUUAUUAUUCCUUUAAAUUACAAAAAAUUAACCUCCUUAAAAAGAGAGUUUUAAAACUGAUCCAGACAACAGCAAUGCCCUGUGAAAUCUAGCAGUAUAAAGGGUAUCUAAGCAGGAGAGGGUCAUGUGCUGCAACAUCUCAGCAGUAAAAUCUGCCCCCUUUAAGAAAUGGAGAGCAAGUUUAUGGGGAUGAUACAGCUAUGGCACCUUCAGGCCACUGGAGCUGUUGGACGACUAUCAAACUCUCUGCAUAUGUGGUAGCAUAAAGAACGAAAACAAUUCUUUUUACUGGUCAGAAAAUGUUCAGAGUCAAUCAUUCUUCAUUUUCUGCAUUUCAGUAUUGAGCAGUUAUUUCUUUCUUGUGCCCCCAGCUUUGCUUAUAGUUUUAUUACAGAAUUGCAGUACCUGCAGCUUUCAGCAGAUGGCAGGAACACCUCAGUGCCAACUUAUUCAAUGGCUCUGAUAAUUUCAAGUCCCCUUGAUAUAUUCAGCAUCAAACCCAAAUGCUACAAUUACAUUUUUGACACUCUGUAAAGGAAGUGUCAAAGGAAGAUAUUAAGAGACUGUAAAGAGAAGGCUGCUCCCUGGGGGAAGAUAAGCAGCCUGCCAUUACAAAUCUGCUCUGAAGAUUUGCCACAACAAUAAAAUGAGAAAAAAAAGGAAGGUUCUGUAUCUUUUACACUUUGGGUUUUGCAUCAGGCACUUAUAUUGUUGGAGAGACAUGCCAUUCUGAGCCAAACAAGUGAGAGAAGGGUUAGAAUCAUCUUUAAACUAAGCCUAAUAAUGAAAUUUCAGCAGCAAAGUGGAGGCAUGGAGUGAGCCUCUCCCCAUCCAUCUGUGCUGAGACUUAUUUAUGGUUUCUAAAAUGCCCAAGAAGACAGCAGCAGUAACUGUUCUGUAGUGUCCAUUUUUCCUUAUGUGUUGUGUUGCUGAGAGGAGGCUUUUCUGUGUCUUGAACUGAGAAGGCACUAAGGUACCCUGUGCCUAAUUCCCUGGAUCCAACAGGUCCAUGCUUGUACCAAACAUUGCCACCAGCUGCUCCUCAUAAUGUGUUAUAUUCCUCUUCAUAAUGUCCAUGCAGGGGCCAAGCAGCCUCUCGAAUGCUUGCACAUCCAUGACUACACAGAAACAAAUAGAAGAGUGAAAACAAAUAAAGAGCUGCCCUGCAAAAUAAAGCAAUAAGCCAAUCCGAAUUACUUUCUAAAACUCAUGUAACUUGAGUCCAGCCAACAUGGUUCUAAUGUUUCAGUGGAAGCCACUCACACUGAAGUCAAACUUCUCAUUUUACAAAGCUGUCAUGCUGAUCCAGGAGACUAAUAAAAAUAAAUGUCAGAUCCUGGCAUAAAUCUGGAGGCCAAAUGCAAAAAACACACAGCUGCAAUACAAGCAUGACUGAAAAAUCUCUGUCAUGUGUAACAAACAUCUUUAGAGGGAAGGAAAUCAAGCUGAAUGGAGGUUGUGCUUUUUAUGCUACCAUGCUGCGGAUACACACUUGACUCUAUGACUUCCCUUUUCUGGAAUAGUGGAAGCCAGGCACAUAAAGGAAGUAACGUACUUAAUCUCCAUUGGGCACUUACGCCAUCCCCAGUCAAAACAGAAAUGGUACAAAGAAAGGCAAGAUGAAGGAAACAAGGGUUCCCAUACUGAAGUGCUGAAGGACCCUUACAGGCCAAAACUCCUGGCCUUGACUGAAGAACAAGCAGUCCAGUUUGGAUGCCAGUUAGAAUCUACAUGGCUGUACAACUUAAUGGAAUAGCAUAGACAACAUGAAGCGAUUGGGCAUUGCUUGAAGGCACCUACUGCAGAGAGAUACCUAGCAGCACAAAGUACCCUUACCUAAACACUUGACAUCCCCAACAGCAUAGGCAGAGGCUGCUCUGGGUUUGUUGGUAACAAGUGCAAGCUCUCCAAAAUACUGUCCUUUCUGACACCGGGCAAUCUCCACUUCCUGGUUAGCGUCCUUACUUGUCAUAGUCUGUGCCAGAAAUAGAACAAUAAGCAAAGUGACUAUUUUAAUCACAAUACAGUGCUAUGCAUACAGCUCUCUCUGAACAGAAGAUCACAGCUGGCAGAGAAAUGCUUCAGUAAUGGCCCAGUAUCCUGUGCACAGGGUCUCCAGAAUAUUCCCUAACAAAGAUUUUAAGUAUAACAUACACAAGGCUCUGCCCAGUAAAGAUUGCCUCAAACCGGGAGAACUAUUUGUUUGAAAGCAAGACUCCAGUUAAAAGAAGUCACAGAAGGGCAAAGGGUUAAAAAGAUGCUGUACUUUGAGUAUCUGUUGACUGUUGCCUACUACAGUCCCCCCUAGGGAAGACUGUAUCCAUGUUUGAAGCUUGGAAGGAAACAUCAUGACAAUUUGCACAUGUGCAGAUGUAAGCAAAGCAUGUUUCUCAAAACAGACAUGCAUCAUCUUCAGAAUCGGUUUUUGAAAUAGCUUGAAGUGACUUUGGGGAGAUGUACAGCCUGCCUUGCCCAGCUAGAAACAAUAACGAUCAGAUCUUCAAAUAAUCCGAGAGUUCGUCUGUUGUACAGUACAGCACUUUUAUUAAGAACAUAGAUCAGGCCGAGAAUCCAUCGAGCCCACUGUCCUGUCUAACCCUAUCCAGUACCACAUGCUUCAGGAGGAAGGUCCUAUGAUGAGAGGGUAUUUUUCUUUUUAGACCCCCCCCCCCGAAGAUGUAGAUUGAGCAGGGCUGCCUACAAUGAUGCCCAGGACUUUUUUAAAAUUUAGAACACAGCAAUAGCAUGAAAUGGUUCAAAUUUUUUCCCUUCAGUGUUGACUUGCAUUUGUCAACACUGAACGUAACCUGCCAUUGUGCUGCUCAUUCACUUUGUUAGGUCCCUCCGCAACUUUUCACUCUUCUGUAAUCUUUAUUCACCUACAUAACUGUGUCAUCUGCUGGUUUUGCCAACUCACUGUUCACUAUUUUUCCCAGCGCAUUGAUAAAUAUAUUAACCACCACUGACUCUAGUAUGGAACCAUGCUACACCUCCUCUCUAUUAACCUUUGUCUAGAGUGAAAAUUGACCAUUUAUCUCUACUUUUUGUUUCCUGUCACUUAGUUUCUAAACCACGAUAGCACUGGACUUCUCACCCCAUAACUGUAUUUCAACUCACCUUGCUUUUAAUCAAGAUUUUUACUUCACCAGACUCUACAAUGUAAAAGCUGUCUGCUUUAUCACCCUAUAAAGAGAAAAGACCCCUGGACUCUGAUUUGCAGAAACUUGGAGCACUCACAGGUGCAACUGAAGUCACUUAGAAAUGUGCUUUGAACAUAUGAAGCGUUAUACAAUGUUAAGUGUUGUGAGAAAUCAAGUCCUAUGCGUCUCAGACUGGGCAACCAAAAUUAGUGAACAUAGUGCCUGGCAUGAUGGGGUCCUGGUCUAUGAUGCUAAGAUAAUACAAAUACAACAACAACAGAGUAUAAGCAGGCCAAGCAAUCCAGGAGGCCAUAGAGAUUCUUUCUGUCAUCUGGUCUUAGCACCCUUAGUUGGCUGGUGUUGGUGGCCUGUGACAUAGAGCAGUGCUAUUCAAAGUGGUGGUCCGUGGACCGGCAGCCAUCAGCUGCUGGUCUGCGCGCACAUUGGGAAAAAAAAUUGCCGGUCCCCCACAUCAGACAGCUUGAGAAGCACUGACAGAGGGUGUCAGAAGAGAGGAGCUCGUGGUCCCUCUAGACUUUAUCUAGAACUCAGACACUGCAGAAGGUUAGGUGUCAUUCAGACAGCCCAAAUGUCAAUCCAGCUAUUUCAUUUCACACAGUUUUGCAAGCUAUUAAGGCAUUAAAAGAUCUGUGCACCACAUCUAUGUUGGAAAAAAACAUUUCUACCUUAAAAGAAACAAGCUGAGUGGGAAAUGCAAGGAUUUCAACUAGGAACUAGAUAAUGCUAACAACUUUCAAAUGCUUUAAAGAUAAUGUUACUCUUAGCUGAAUGACCAAAUUAAUGGAAAAUGAUUUUUUAAAUGUAAAAUUAUUUGGUAAGAGAGUGUGCAUGGCACUGACAUGACUCCUAGCAUACAAGACUUUUCCAGGCACUAAAUCUGAUCCACUGUUGAAGGUGUACAAAAUACAUCAUAUCCCAGCUGCCCACAUAAAUUCAGAUCACUAAUCCCCUAGGCAAUAUCUAAGGAACGUUUUAUAUACUUUUCCUAAGUUCUGUUACUUGUGGAGAUUAAAAGUGCUGCAUAAUUGGAUCAAUGACUGCAUGUGAUCCCAAACCUGACAUCUCAGCGUGGGCUUUUUGCCUUUGACUCUCCGUUUGCCCAGAGCUCACUCUUCUCAGGCCCCCAAGCAGGAGGGUUUUUAUCUUGCAAAACAGAGUGGAUUUUUGGAUGGAAUUAAUUGGCUUUGUUUGGUUAUUAAAAGGCUAGGUUCAUUUAUUCAAAAUUAUCUGUCACUCAAAAUAAUUAAAAUUAAUGUAUGCUGAAGACAUCAUCGAUGAUUCUUGGUCAGAUUUUUACUAGUUAGACUCAAUUCAGUUAGAUAAUUUCCUGAUGACCUAAUUCAAGUGUUAUACAAAUCACUGCUGCUGAAUUGUUUUAGAUUUUGAUAGGAACAAGAUCUAAAAUUUGUCAGAGAUCAUUUUACUAUUUAUCCGCCCUUGUUUCAUCGGGCUACACUGUGCAUUUAAAAGGCUCGUUGUGAUUGUCUAAGACGUCUGCUGUUUUCAGGAAGAUGAGGAACUUCAUGGAACUCUGUAUCAAUAGGGAUCUUUCCUUAGUGUUUUUUCUUAAUCACCCAAAUAAGAGUCAUUAAUUGUAUUGUACUUCCUGUAUAACUUUUGAUAAAAGGCUUUUUUAAAAUAUUCACAAGCAGGAAGUAAAUUAGAGUAAGAAAAAUGGAUAAUAGAACAAAUUCCUAGGGGAACUAGGUACCAUCCCAUCCCUGAAAAUAAUAAAAAAACCAACAACCUUAAAUAAGAUGUUAGUAGGAAUAAUGGCGUGAAUAAGGUCAAACUGGACAACCAAACUGGUAUCUAUGAUUCUAUGUAGUAUAAAAAAGAGGGGGGAAUUCAAAGUCCAAAUACCUGAGAAAUGAUGCGCUCCCCAUCUCGAUACACCUUCUCCCCUAUUACAUCAACUAUCUUCAUUCGCUCUGAAACCUGGAACAGAGAGAAAAUUUCCAUUCAGCCUACAACUGCCCCUGACGAAUUAGGACCUGAAACCAUGUGAAGCUUUUCCUAUUUUUGUGUACUAUAUUAAAAAGAAUGCUUGCUAUGCUCUUUGAGAUCAGCAUGCCAUACAAUUUACAGUGAGCAUCUGGGAGUUUCUGCUUUUUCUAGUGUCAUAGAUAGGGAACCAUAUUCAACAGUGGAUUAAAUGAAGAUUGACUAUU
Long non-coding RNA from Chelonia mydas (Green sea turtle), 15465 nucleotides. RefSeq lists it as uncharacterized. The transcript is spliced from 5 exons. NCBI's taxonomy places the organism in Eukaryota, Metazoa, Chordata, Testudines, Cheloniidae. The record is from RefSeq and is a predicted model, not a curated record.